Molecule: ribosomal RNA, 201 nt
Filed under: Helotiales sp.
Lineage: Eukaryota; Fungi; Ascomycota; Leotiomycetes; Helotiales
Description: partial large subunit ribosomal RNA
Source: RNAcentral
AAGCGCUUGCAACCAGACUUGCACGCUGUUGAUCAUCCAGGCUUCUGUUUGGUGCACUCAACUGUGUUCAGGCCAGCAUCGGUUUUGGUGGUGGGAUAAAGGCCUUGGGAAUGUGGCUCCUCCGGGAGUGUUAUAGCCCAUUGUGUAAUACCCUGUGGUGGACUGAGGUUCGCGCAUCUGCAAGGAUGCUGGCGUAAUGGU